This 633-nucleotide ribosomal RNA is filed under the name Russula aff. xerampelina r-01018. RNAcentral describes it as "eukaryotic LSU rRNA". The stretch from base 198 to 351 matches the Rfam family "5.8S ribosomal RNA". The record is from RNAcentral. Lineage: Eukaryota; Fungi; Basidiomycota; Agaricomycetes; Russulales; Russulaceae.
AAGGAUCAUUAUCGUACAACCGAGGUGCAAAGGCUGUCGCUGACCCUCAAAGGUUGUGCACGCCCGAGCGCUCUCACACAAUCCAUCUCACCUUUUGUGCAUCACCGCGUGGGUCCCCUUUGCGGGAGGGCUUGCGUUUUCACAUAAAACUCGAUACAGUGUAGAAUGUUUCUUUUGCGGUCACACGCAAUCAAUACAACUUUCAACAACGGAUCUCUUGGCUCUCGCAUCGAUGAAGAACGCAGCGAAAUGCGAUACGUAAUGUGAAUUGCAGAAUUCAGUGAAUCAUCGAAUCUUUGAACGCACCUUGCGCCCCUUGGCAUUCCGAGGGGCACACCCGUUUGAGUGUCGUGAAAUCUUCAAAACCCUUUUUUCUUUGAACCAUUGCGGUCGGGAAAAGGAUUUUUGGACUUGGAGGUUUAAUGCUUGCCCUUUCUUUUGAAAGCGAGCUCCUCCCAAAUGAAUUAGUGGGGUCCGCUUUGCUGAUCCUUGACGUGAUAAAAUGUUUCUACGUUUUGGGUUUAGCACUGUCCCUUGGAUGCCUGCUCCUAACCGUCUCAUUGACAAUGAUGGUGCUCUGGUCACUGCCGUCUCCAUCGGCGGGAGGCUGGACCCACAAAAAGAAAACCUUGA